RNAcentral lists this long non-coding RNA (6186 nucleotides) under Sus scrofa (pig). RNAcentral describes it as "lncRNA (ENSSSCG00000052153.1)". The record is from RNAcentral. Lineage: Eukaryota; Metazoa; Chordata; Mammalia; Artiodactyla; Suidae.
GUCUUUUUAGGGCUGCACCCGCGGCAUAUGGAGGUUCCCAGGCUAGGGGUCUAAUUGGAGCUACAGCUGCUGGCCUACACCACAGCCACAGCAACUCGAGAUCUGAGCCAUGUCUGUGACCUGCAGCACAGCUUAUGGCAGCACUGAAUCCUUAACCCACUGGGUGAGGCCAGGGAUCAAACCUGCAACCUCAUGUUUCCUAGUCGGAUUUGUUUCCACUGCACCACAGUGGGAACUCCUAGAAAAAUUAGAUUCUUAAGGGACCUGGCACCCCAGUAUGGUGCUAAACCCCUCUGUCCCUCCCCAGGUCUAGGGGUGUGGUGGCCUGAUCUUGGGAGGCCUACUGCCAGGAGGGGGUCCCCACCUCCCCUCUCAUAUGCAGUCCUGGCCAGCCUGACCUGGCAUGGUGCUGGCUGACUGCCCCACGUCAGUUCUUUUAUCUCAUCCGGGGUCAGCUCUGGGUGGGCAGCCUUGGCACAGCACCCCUAUGCUCUUCCCCUCCCAUGGUCAUCUAGCUCUGCCUGCGUCUUUUGUCUCUCUCACGGCCCCAGGCCCCUAACUAAGCUGAGUAUAGCUGCUCUCCUCUCUCUGGUGGAGGAAUUGCCUUUCCCUAGAGAUGCCUUGCUUCCGCUGAUUGAUUUGCUGCAGGUGAAACCCGCCCGGUCUGCUGCUUGUCGGAGCCACUUUGCAAAGUGCUUCCUCUGCAGUGGCCUUGACAACGAGGAAGGGAGCUGGCGAGCCCUGAGGUGGGUGCGCAGCAGUGGUGGGCCAUGGUUUUUGGCUCGAUGUCCCUGAUGCCUUGUAUAUUAAAGAUUUUCACCACAUCUGAACAUAGACAGCAGGAGAGGAGAGCAGGGGUAGAGGAGUUUGGACCUUCAACACGCGUGUUUCCGUGGUUUCCAUCACCUUGACCUGCUGGGCAGGCAGGUUUGGGGAGCGGAGGGGCUCUGGGAGCAGAGACAGGCCCCAGAACCCCCAGCUGCGCCCACACCCCCUCCAUCACCUGCCCCAUUGUCUUUCCCUUCUGAGGCCUUGGCUUUCCCAGCUCACCACGUGGGGGCCGUUCCUGUCGAGGCUUGUAAAAAUCAGCCUUUGAGAAAGAAAAGGGAACUUUUCCUGUUGAAUGUUGGCUCUGUGUGUGUGUGUGUGUGUGCGUGUUUGUGGGUGUUUUUAAUGGAUUUUAUUUUUGUGAAAUACCUUGACAAUUAUGUAGCAAAAUUCGCUUUUAUCUCCCAGUCAACCUUUUGGUUCCAGAGUCAACCCUGGGUGUCGCUAAUUGGAAGAAUUCUCUCCUGGGUAUGUGAACAGAGAGGUGCCAUCCUCAAGAGUUGAGGUGGUGGAGAGGGUUGGGAGAAACUGAAGUUCGAUACAUUUCCAUAAAGUUUCCUUCCUGCAGUUAAAAGGUAGGAGACAUGGAGCCGAGGCUGUGUGUCCCCGAGGGAACUGGCACGAGGCCCCUCCCUCGGCGCCCUUGCUGCUGCUUUAUCUGAAUCUGUUCACACUCGUGUUUGUGGGCUUCUUCUGUAACGCCACAGCUGAAACAGCACGUUCUUUUCCUUUUUCUGCUUUCAGUUCAUUGUGUAAAUGGUUCAUUUUUUUCUCUUGUGAGCUCCGGUGACUGUGUCAGGGCUUCUGUAGCAAACAGUCACCCCUCGUGGGCAGAAAAACAAAACCCAAGAAGAGUCUUGCUCACCGGAGGCCCCAAGCCUCAGGCCUGCGCCAUCCAGAGCAAGGCCGUUUAUGCUCCGCUGUUGAGAAGCACCUUUCCACCAGCUGUAUUCAACACUACAAUGCAGUUUGAAAACUAUAUUUGCAUCCAAGACAAUAAAAGGCCAUAUUUUUUGAAAACCCUGUGAUUUGUCGUUCCCCUUGAGCUAUGGAGGAGGUGACAAAAUGAGAUCAGGGCAAAGUGAUGCCCACAAGUGGCUCCCUCAUUCUAGGGUUGGGGGUGUGGGUGCAGCCUGGCGGUGCUGUGGGUGAGGAGACAGACCCAGGAUGGCAGGGGCUCAGGAGGUAUGUCCUGGAGGACAGUGGGCCUAAAGAGAAGCCUCUGCUGAACGGCCCAGCAGGAUGGACUCUACCUGGGAAUGCACCAGGCUGUGGUAUUGCAGGCCUUUCCCAGGUGGACAGAGUCCAGUGAUGCUUGUGCAGACUUGCACACUUCCUAGUGUGGAACAUGGGCAAAUAGCACCCCCCCGCACUCUUUACAGGAGGUGGUGAGGUUCCCAUGUAGUCGGAUGCAUCCAGUGCUUAAGAGAGCGCAUGUUACCACCAACGUGGCCAGCACCAGCCCCUGCACAGAAUGGGGUCCAUGUUGUGGAGGUGCCCGGGUGGCUGUGGGCUCCCUGCUGACGCUGACCCAGUACUGUAGGCAGAGAACACUAGGAGGUUGACCGCAGAGAUGUCCCUUUGUUGUGCUGGGAUUUUGAUCUCUGUUUAAUCUAGAAGCUUUUCUUUUGGCUCUGCCAUCUUUCCGUGCCCGCCCCCCUGCCCCCCAGCGCCUUGUGUCUGGGCAGGGUGACCCGGUAAGAUGAACCAUGCCAUCCCAUCUCAGGCUGCUGGCUUAUUCACUGAACAGCUGCCCAGAUCCAUAUCUCGACUAAAAUGCAGUGGGCUGAUACACAGGCUCUUGUCUGAUCAAACCCCCACUCCUCCCCCAAGGGAAAAAGUCUUCAUGACACAAAGCAAGAUUUGGGGCCUUGAGAACCGGGGGCCCUAGAGGGAGAGGUAAGUGGUUGUGCCUUUGGGUUGGAGGGAGCUCAACUAUUGAGAUAAUCAGUGGCUGUCCAGUUGGUUCUUCUAACUUGGGAGCCCACCCCAUGUCAUGUACAGAACCUUAAAAGAUAACUUGGGGCAUAAUUAGAAGAAGGGAGAGGUCGGAUCUGGGGAAGGGAGGAGAAGAGUCUGGAGGGGGAGGCCAGGGCACUGGAGCUUCAAUUCCUCAGCGUCAGGUGCUGGGCCACCUCGGGGACAGGGACACCCCUGGACAGUUCUCAAGUUUUUCCUCACAGAGGAAGAAAUGGAAGUUGUUUCCAAGGUGACAGGGCUGCACUGGUCAGAGUGAGAAGGCUGGUUUCAUUUUUUUAUCCUGCAAAGGGCCUCUCCAUCCACCAAGUUGGAAGAUUAUCCAUGGUAUCCUCCCCUUCCCUCCCCUUCCCCGACACCAAGCGCUGUUAAGUCUGUCCUCCAGAUUUCUUCCAAACACAUAGUCCACUUCACUCCGUCCCCAGUGUCCCCAGUACCCAAGUCCAAGUUGCCACUGUUUCUCAAGUUCACACAACAGUGUCCUCCAUCCCUUCUGUCUGGUGGCCUCUUCUGGUCAGGGAACCUGAGGAAGCCCACCCCCCACAGGCCUCCCCACCGUCCUUCCAGGGCUUCCAGAUAAAGGCCAGUCCCCCCGACCCCACUGAGUCCAUCCUGCCCGCGCCGGCCUUUCCAACCUCAUUUCUGCUUUUUUCAGUUCCUUGAAUAUGCUGUGCUUUGCUUUGUUUCACUCUAGGUUUUCCCAGGUCUCCUUCCUCUGCCCACAUCUUUCCCCUUCUCUACCCCUUUUCCUAUCAAGCUCCUACUCUCUCUUCCCAUCUUAGUCCUUACAUGUCAGGGAGUUCCGGUUGUGGCUCAGCAGUAACGAACCCGACUAGAAUCCAUGAGGUUGAGGGUUGGAUCCCUGGCCUCGCUCAGUGGGUUAAGGAUCCUGCAUUGCCGUGAACCCGACUAGAAUCCAUGAGGUUGAGGGUUGGAUCCCUGGCCUCGCUCAGUGGGUUAAGGAUCCUGCAUUGCCGUGAACUGCGGUGUAGGUCACAGAUGCAGCUCGGAUCCCAAGUUGCUAUGGCUAUGGUGUAGGCCAGAGGCUACAGCUCUCAUUCGACCCCUAGCCUGGGAACUUCCAUAUGCCGUGGGUGCAGUCCUAAAAAGACCAAAAAUAUAUAUAUAUAUUAAAUGUCAGAAACCAGCCUUAGUGUGUGUGUCAUCCCCCAAACCCCCCAAAACACAGGUCCGCACGUGCACGUGCACAUACACACACAUACAUGCACACAUCCAGUCAGGCCUCGGAGCACCUCAUAUUUUCUCAGGGUGCAGGUCAUGUUUGUGAUUAUCGUUCACCUUCCCCACCAGGUUCCGAGACCCUUUGGGACAAGGUGCCUGUGGCCACUGCUGUGCCCAGCUCAGAAUUGUCACAUGGCAGGUGCCCCUGGGAACCUGUUCUGUGCGCCCUUGGCCCUGUGCCUGCCGCCCUUCCCCAUCUCCGAGUCAGACAGGCGCAGGGUGUGGGGAGCCUGACCAGAUAGGACAGGAGGAGAGAGGAGGGGGCAACUAUUGGAUGCAGACGUCAAACUCAGGUAGGUGUUGAGCAAGGUUUAAAGGUUGGAUCCUAUGAUUACAGAUUUAAUAUUAAACUUUAGUAAUUCAGGUUGUAAAUGUGAUGAGAAUAGCCUCCAAACGGCAUUUAAAAGCAUUUCAUCUUGGACUUGGCCUUGAUUCUAUAGAAUACAGUUUACCAUCUUUAGUAGCUCUUUUUUUGUUGUGUCAGGCUCUGAAUUUAGCCUGGUGUAGGGUGGUGUGAUGACAUGUAAUGUGUGCUUUUACCUUUUUAUUUCAGAACAUUGCCAGCAUACACAGAAGCAGAGAGAAGAGUAUAAUGAAACCUCACGUGCCCGACCUCCACUUGAACAAUCACCAACUCAGGGCCAAUUUUGUUUGAUACAUACCUCACCUCACUCCCGUUAUUUAGAAGCAAAGCCCAGAUGCCUUAGUCUGCCAUCAAGAUGCGUGUGCUGAAGGCCGAAUUUGAACUCAGCUCAGGGGACAUAACGGUGACUUUAUUGACAAAGAGGACAAAACCGAUCUUGAUACUGAGUGAAGGGAGACAUACAGCAUGCCAUAGAAGAAGAGUGGCAGGGACCACUCCUGGGUGGGAGGAUCGCCCAGUAGGUGGCUCCCAGCCAGGACCCAGCGAGACACCAGCGUCUGCCAGGCAGAGGGCGAGACCCACGGGGGGAGCUCCCUUCACAGAAGACGUGUUGACCAACCACAACGCCUCCCUGUGCGUCCACCUUUGCUUUUGUCUAUUUACUUAUUUACUUAGUUUGCUUUUUAGGGCCACACCAGCAGUAUAUGGAGGUUCCCAGGCUAGAGGUCAGAUUGGAGCUGCAGCUGCUGGCCUACACCACAGCCACAGCAACACAGGAUCCUUAGCACACUGAGUGAGGCCUCAAAAGACUGCACAGUGGGGAUUAUUACCCUCAUUUUACACAGGAGGAAACUAAUGCUUACCUCCCAUGGUGGAGCAGUCAGCAAACUGGCCGAAGACGGGAAGUUCUUCAACUAAUAAAGGCGUCUAAGAACACCCCACAGUAAACAUAUUUUUAAUGAUGAAUGGCUGAAUACUUUCCAUGUGUAAUAGGGGCAAGGCAAGGAUGUCUGUUGUCACCAGGACCAUACAGCAUUUUUCUGGAAGGUUUAGUCGGAUCAGGUUAGGAAGACAUUCCCAUUAGAAAGGAGUGAAAAUGCUCUGUGCAAAUGACAUGAUGCUUUAUAUGGAAAACCCUAAAGAGUACACACACACAUACACAUGUAAGAGCCAGUAAGUGAGUUCAACAAGGUCCCAGGAAACAAGAUCAAUAUGCAAAAUUCAGCUGCAUUUCUGAACUCUAGCAAUGAACAACUCAAAAAUGAAACUAAGGAAACUCUUCCAUGUACAAUAACAUCAAAGAGAAUAAAAUGUUUUAGGAUAAAUUUAAUCAGGGAAGGGCAAGACUUCUACACUGACACCUGUAAAACGUUGUUGAUUAUUCAGCCAUAAAAAGGGAUUAAUUGAUACAACAACAUGGGUGAACUUCAAACACAUGAUGCUAUGUGGAAGGAACCAGACACAAAAGGCCACGUACUGUAUGAUCCCAUAUAUGUGAAAUGCCCAGCAUAGUAAAUCCAAAGGGAUAGAAAACAGAUUGGUAUUGGCAGCAAGGAGGCGGAGCAGAAGUGUACUUAAUGGAUAUGGGGUGUCCUUUUGGGGUGAUGCCAUUUUGGAACUUCAUAUACGUGCCAGUUACAUUGUGAAUGUCCUAAGUGCCACUGAAUUGUACAGUUUAAGAUGCUUCAUUUCACGUUACAUGAAUUUCACCUCAAUUUUUGUAAAUGUUGAAAGAAACUAAAGAAGGCCUAAAUAAAUGGAAAAACAUCUUGUGU